UUUAAUUGAAGAGUUUGAUCAUGGCUCAGAUUGAACGCUGGCGGCAGGCUUAACACAUGCAAGUCGAGCGGUAGCACAGGGGAGCUUGCUCUCUGGGUGACGAGCGGCGGACGGGUGAGUAAUGUCUGGGAAACUGCCUGAUGGAGGGGGAUAACUACUGGAAACGGUAGCUAAUACCGCAUAACGUCGCAAGACCAAAGAGGGGGACCUUCGGGCCUCUUGCCAUCAGAUGUGCCCAGAUGGGAUUAGCUAGUAGGUGGGGUAAUGGCUCACCUAGGCGACGAUCCCUAGCUGGUCUGAGAGGAUGACCAGCCACACUGGAACUGAGACACGGUCCAGACUCCUACGGGAGGCAGCAGUGGGGAAUAUUGCACAAUGGGCGCAAGCCUGAUGCAGCCAUGCCGCGUGUGUGAAGAAGGCCUUCGGGUUGUAAAGCACUUUCAGCGAGGAGGAAGGUGGUGAGCUUAAUACGCUCAUCAAUUGACGUUACUCGCAGAAGAAGCACCGGCUAACUCCGUGCCAGCAGCCGCGGUAAUACGGAGGGUGCAAGCGUUAAUCGGAAUUACUGGGCGUAAAGCGCACGCAGGCGGUUUGUUAAGUCAGAUGUGAAAUCCCCGGGCUCAACCUGGGAACUGCAUUUGAAACUGGCAAGCUAGAGUCUCGUAGAGGGGGGUAGAAUUCCAGGUGUAGCGGUGAAAUGCGUAGAGAUCUGGAGGAAUACCGGUGGCGAAGGCGGCCCCCUGGACGAAGACUGACGCUCAGGUGCGAAAGCGUGGGGAGCAAACAGGAUUAGAUACCCUGGUAGUCCACGCUGUAAACGAUGUCGAUUUGGAGGUUGUGCCCUUGAGGCGUGGCUUCCGGAGCUAACGCGUUAAAUCGACCGCCUGGGGAGUACGGCCGCAAGGUUAAAACUCAAAUGAAUUGACGGGGGCCCGCACAAGCGGUGGAGCAUGUGGUUUAAUUCGAUGCAACGCGAAGAACCUUACCUACUCUUGACAUCCAGAGAACUUUCCAGAGAUGGAUUGGUGCCUUCGGGAACUCUGAGACAGGUGCUGCAUGGCUGUCGUCAGCUCGUGUUGUGAAAUGUUGGGUUAAGUCCCGCAACGAGCGCAACCCUUAUCCUUUGUUGCCAGCGGUUCGGCCGGGAACUCAAAGGAGACUGCCAGUGAUAAACUGGAGGAAGGUGGGGAUGACGUCAAGUCAUCAUGGCCCUUACGAGUAGGGCUACACACGUGCUACAAUGGCAUAUACAAAGAGAAGCGACCUCGCGAGAGCAAGCGGACCUCAUAAAGUAUGUCGUAGUCCGGAUUGGAGUCUGCAACUCGACUCCAUGAAGUCGGAAUCGCUAGUAAUCGUAGAUCAGAAUGCUACGGUGAAUACGUUCCCGGGCCUUGUACACACCGCCCGUCACACCAUGGGAGUGGGUUGCAAAAGAAGUAGGUAGCUUAACCUUCGGGAGGGCGCUUACCACUUUGUGAUUCAUGACUGGGGUGAAGUCGUAACAAGGUAACCGUAGGGGAACCUGCGGUUGGAUCACCUCCUUACCUAAAGA
RNAcentral lists this ribosomal RNA (1552 nucleotides) under Serratia marcescens. Its description in RNAcentral is "bacterial SSU rRNA". It matches the Rfam family "Bacterial small subunit ribosomal RNA". Lineage: Bacteria; Pseudomonadati; Pseudomonadota; Gammaproteobacteria; Enterobacterales; Yersiniaceae. The record is from RNAcentral.